This 492-nucleotide ribosomal RNA is filed under the name uncultured bacterium. Its description in RNAcentral is "partial 16S ribosomal RNA". It matches the Rfam family "Bacterial small subunit ribosomal RNA", at positions 29 to 507 of the family's 1533-position model. The record is from RNAcentral.
AGUGAACGCUGGCGGUAGGCCUAACACAUGCAAGUCGAACGGCAGCACAGUAAGAGCUUGCUCUUACGGGUGGCGAGUGGCGGACGGGUGAGGAAUACAUCGGAAUCUACUUUUUCGUGGGGGAUAACGUAGGGAAACUUACGCUAAUACCGCAUACGACCUACGGGUGAAAGCAGGGGAUCUUCGGACCUUGCGCGAUUGAAUGAGCCGAUGUCGGAUUAGCCAGUUGGCGGGGUAAAGGCCCACCAAGGCGACGAUCCGUAGCUGGUCUGAGAGGAUGAUCAGCCACACUGGAACUGAGACACGGUCCAGACUCCUACGGGAGGCAGCAGUGGGGAAUAUUGGACAAUGGGCGCAAGCCUGAUCCAGCCAUACCGCGUGGGUGAAGAAGGCCUUCGGGUUGUAAAGCCCUUUUGUUGGGAAAGAAAAGCAGCAGGUUAAUACCCCGCUGUUCUGACGGUACCCAAAGAAUAGGCACCGGCUAACUUCGUG